AUACGGAGGGGGCUAGCGUUGUUCGGAAUUACUGGGCGUAAAGCGCACGUAGGCGGCUUGUCAAGUUGGGGGUGAAAGCCCGGAGCUCAACUCCGGAACUGCCCUCAAAACUGGCUCGCUAGAGUCCGGGAGAGGUGAGUGGAAUUCCCAGUGUAGAGGUGAAAUUCGUAGAUAUUGGGAAGAACACCAGUGGCGAAGGCGGCUCACUGGACCGGUACUGACGCUGAGGUGCGAAAGCGUGGGGAGCAAACAGGAUUAGAAACCCCAGUAGUCC
RNAcentral lists this ribosomal RNA (274 nucleotides) under uncultured bacterium. Its description in RNAcentral is "partial 16S ribosomal RNA". It matches the Rfam family "Bacterial small subunit ribosomal RNA", at positions 523 to 796 of the family's 1533-position model. The record is from RNAcentral.